AGAGUUUGAUCCUGGCUCAGAUUGAACGCUGGCGGCAUGCCUUACACAUGCAAGUCGAACGGCAGCACGGACUUCGGUUUGGUGGCGAGUGGCGAACGGGUGAGUAAUACAUCGGAACGUGCCUAGUAGUGGGGGAUAACUACUCGAAAGAGUGGCUAAUACCGCAUGAGAUUUACGGAUGAAAGCAGGGGAUCGCAAGACCUUGUGCUAAUAGAGCGGCCGAUGGCAGAUUAGGUAGUUGGUGGGAUAAAAGCUUACCAAGCCAACGAUCUGUAGCUGGUUUGAGAGGACGAUCAGCCACACUGGGACUGGGGCACGGCCCAGACUCCUACGGGAGGCAGCAGUGGGGAAUUUUGGACAAUGGGCGAAAGCCUGAUCCAGCAAUGCCGCGUGCAGGAUGAAGGCCUUCGGGUUGUAAACUGCUUUUGUACGGAACGAAAAGCUUCGGGUUAAUACCCUGGAGUCAUGACGGUACCGUAAGAAUAAGCACCGGCUAACUACGUGCCAGCAGCCGCGGUAAUACGUAGGGUGCAAGCGUUAAUCGGAAUUACUGGGCGUAAAGCGUGCGCAGGCGGUUUUGUAAGACAGAGGUGAAAUCCCCGGGCUCAACCUGGGAACUGCCUUUGUGACUGCAAGGCUAGAGUACGGCAGAGGGGGAUGGAAUUCCGCGUGUAGCAGUGAAAUGCGUAGAUAUGCGGAGGAACACCGAUGGCGAAGGCAAUCCCCUGGGCCUGUACUGACGCUCAUGCACGAAAGCGUGGGGAGCAAACAGGAUUAGAUACCCUGGUAGUCCACGCCCUAAACGAUGUCAACUGGUUGUUGGGUCUUCAUUGACUCAGUAACGAAGCUAACGCGUGAAGUGACCGCCU
This 869-nucleotide ribosomal RNA is filed under the name uncultured organism. Its description in RNAcentral is "bacterial SSU rRNA". It matches the Rfam family "Bacterial small subunit ribosomal RNA", at positions 9 to 873 of the family's 1533-position model. The record is from RNAcentral.